AGGAUGAACGCUAGCGGCAGGCUUAACACAUGCAAGUCGAGGGGUAUUUAUCUUCGGAUAGAGAGACCGGCGCACGGGUGCGUAACGCGUAUGCAAUCUACCUUUUACAGAGGGAUAGCCCAGAGAAAUUUGGAUUAAUACCUCAUAGUAUAUAGACUUGGCAUCAGGAUUAUAUUAAAGUCACAACGGUAAAAGAUGAGCAUGCGUCCCAUUAGCUAGUUGGUAAGGUAACGGCUUACCAAGGCUACGAUGGGUAGGGGUCCUGAGAGGGAGAUCCCCCACACUGGUACUGAGACACGGACCAGACUCCUACGGGAGGCAGCAGUGAGGAAUAUUGGACAAUGGGCGCAAGCCUGAUCCAGCCAUGCCGCGUGCAGGAUGACGGUCCUAUGGAUUGUAAACUGCUUUUAUACGAGAAGAAACACUACUUCGUGAAGUAGCUUGACGGUAUCGUAAGAAUAAGGAUCGGCUAACUCCGUGCCAGCAGCCGCGGUAAUACGGAGGAUCCAAGCGUUAUCCGGAAUCAUUGGGUUUAAAGGGUCCGUAGGCGGUUUAAUAAGUCAGUGGUGAAAGCCCAUCGCUCAACGGUGGAACGGCCAUUGAUACUGUUAGACUUGAAUUAUUAGGAAGUAACUAGAAUAUGUAGUGUAGCGGUGAAAUGCUUAGAGAUUACAUGGAAUACCAAUUGCGAAGGCAGGUUACUACUAAUUGAUUGACGCUGAUGGACGAAAGCGUGGGUAGCGAACAGGAUUAGAUACCCUGGUAGUCCACGCCGUAAACGAUGGAUACUAGCUGUUGGGAGCAAUCUCAGUGGCUAAGCG
RNAcentral lists this ribosomal RNA (821 nucleotides) under Flavobacterium sp. AKB-2008-JO12. Its description in RNAcentral is "bacterial SSU rRNA". It matches the Rfam family "Bacterial small subunit ribosomal RNA", at positions 26 to 853 of the family's 1533-position model. Lineage: Bacteria; Pseudomonadati; Bacteroidota; Flavobacteriia; Flavobacteriales; Flavobacteriaceae. The record is from RNAcentral.